This 467-nucleotide ribosomal RNA is filed under the name uncultured bacterium. Its description in RNAcentral is "partial 16S ribosomal RNA". It matches the Rfam family "Bacterial small subunit ribosomal RNA", at positions 28 to 507 of the family's 1533-position model. The record is from RNAcentral.
GAUGAACGCUGACAGAAUGCUUAACACAUGCAAGUCCACUUGAAUUUGGGUUUUUAACUUAGGUUUGGGUGGCGGACGGGUGAGUAACGCGUAAAGAACUUGCCUCACAGCUAGGGACAACAUUUGGAAACGAAUGCUAAUACCUAAUAUUAUGAUAAUAGGGCAUCCUAUAAUUAUGAAAGCUAUAAGCGCUGUGAGAGAGCUUUGCGUCCCAUUAGCUAGUUGGAGAGGUAACGGCUCACCAAGGCGAUGAUGGGUAGCCGGCCUGAGAGGGUGAUCGGCCACAAGGGGACUGAGACACGGCCCUUACGCCUACGGGAGGCAGCAGUGGGGAAUAUUGGACAAUGGACCGAGAGUCUGAUCCAGAAAUUCUGUGUGCACGAUGAAGUUUUUCGGAAUGUAAAGUGCUUUCAGUUGGGAAGAAACAAAUGACGGUACCAACAGAAGAAGUGACGGCUAAAUACGUG